Molecule: non-coding RNA, 84 nt
Organism: Caerostris darwini
Lineage: Eukaryota; Metazoa; Arthropoda; Arachnida; Araneae; Araneidae
Source: the annotation of a GenBank genome assembly
AUCUCGUUAGAUCACCGAAGUUAAGCAUCAUUGGGCGCGGUCAGUACUUGGGUGGGUGACCACCUGGGAACACCGCGUGCCGUU